CCUGCGGCUUAAUUUGACUCAACACUGGAAAACUUACUAGGUCUAAACAUAACAAAGAUCGAUAGACUGAGAGUUCUUUCUUGAUUUUAUGGGUGGUGUGCACUGGUGAAGAAACCGUUUUUACUCCCGGUUGGUAACCCCCUUUAGUCCCUAGUUUCCAACCGGG
This 166-nucleotide non-coding RNA is filed under the name Oryza meridionalis. Its description in RNAcentral is "rRNA SSU_rRNA_eukarya". It matches the Rfam family "Eukaryotic small subunit ribosomal RNA", at positions 1182 to 1418 of the family's 1831-position model. Lineage: Eukaryota; Viridiplantae; Streptophyta; Magnoliopsida; Poales; Poaceae. The record is from Rfam by way of RNAcentral.